GACGAACGCUGGCGGCGUGCUUAACACAUGCAAGUCGAACGGAAAGGCCCUGCUUUUGUGGGGUGCUCGAGUGGCGAACGGGUGAGUAACACGUGAGUAACCUGCCCUUGACUUUGGAAUAACUUCAGGAAACUGGGGCUAAUACCGGAUAGGAGCUCCUGCUGCAUGGUGGGGGUUGGAAAGUUUCGGCGGUUGGGGAUGGACUCGCGGCUUAUCAGCUUGUUGGUGGGGUAGUGGCUUACCAAGGCUUUGACGGGUAGCCGGCCUGAGAGGGUGACCGGCCACAUUGGGACUGAGAUACGGCCCAGACUCCUACGGGAGGCAGCAGUGGGGAAUAUUGCACAAUGGGCGGACGCCUGAUGCAGCAACGCCGCGUGCGGGAUGACGGCCUUCGGGUUGUAAACCGCUUUCGCCUGUGACGAAGCGUGAGUGACGGUAAUGGGUAAAGAAGCACCGGCUAACUACGUG
This 468-nucleotide ribosomal RNA is filed under the name uncultured bacterium. Its description in RNAcentral is "partial 16S ribosomal RNA". It matches the Rfam family "Bacterial small subunit ribosomal RNA", at positions 28 to 507 of the family's 1533-position model. The record is from RNAcentral.